RNAcentral lists this long non-coding RNA (7626 nucleotides) under Sus scrofa (pig). RNAcentral's name for it is "lncRNA (ENSSSCG00065074981.1)". The record is from RNAcentral. Lineage: Eukaryota; Metazoa; Chordata; Mammalia; Artiodactyla; Suidae.
GGUCUUUGCUCUGGAGGAACUGAUGUCCAAAUACUCUGCCUUAGGCUCAUGAGAUUUGAAGACAUAUAGACAACAUGGAUUUUGGUCUUGGAGCAAUGUUAGUAGGACAAUAAUGUCCUCAAGCAUUGAUAAUAACCAAUUUAACCUUCACUAUGCCUGAAGUUCUGCAACAGCAGUGAUUUGCCUGUCAACAGGACUGUGACACUGAACAGAAAUGUACUCAAGUUCACAGUAUCAGAUUCCGGGAACACACCUCUGCAUUCAGGAAAGGGAUCAAGUUCCUCAUGGUCUAUAAUACCAGUAGCAGGGAAAAUCUCUGGGUGGUGACUUCAUGGCUGGGACAGUCUUUGGAGUGAGAAUGGGAAAGGAGCUAGAAAAAGGUGAGGCUUCUACAAGAACAGAGUAUGGCUAAAGAAAGACUUGAGGAGACAAAAUUUUGGGAGGUUUUGGGAUUUUUUUGCCUGUUGAGGGAUAAGUCCACAAAGAUAGUUUUAGUUUUGUUUUGUUUGGCUGCACUCGGGGCUUGCAGAAGUUCCCAAGCCUGGGAUUGAAUCCAGCACCAAGGCAGCUUCCCUGAGCCCCUGUAAUGAAAACACUGGGUCUGUAACCCACUGAGCCACAAGAGAACUCCAACAAUUUUAGUCUUUGAUUGCUUUUUCUUUUUUCCUUCUUUCUUUCUUUCUUUUUCUUCUUUUUUUUUUUUUUUUUUUUUUCCUUUUUAGGGCCAUGCCUGUGGGAUAUGGGAUAUGGAGGUUCCCAGGCUAAGGGGUUGAAUCAGACCUAUAGCCACCAGCUUACAACACAGUCACAACAGUACCAGAUGAGAGUCACAUCUCUGACCUACGCCUCAGAUCAUGGCAAUGCCAGAUCCUUAACCCACUGAUCAAGGCCAGGGAUCAAACCUACAUCCUCAUGGGUACUAGUGGGGUUCUUAACCUGCUGAGCCACAACAGGAACUCCUGAUUGCCUUUUCAAUUAUCCAGUUUCUUUUGUUCCUUUAGCACAACAGUUGUCAACCAGUUGCCCCUUGAAACACCCGUGGGAACAUUUCCCACCAGCCAUGCCAUUACACCAGAGUUGGCACAUCCUUAGUCUUUCACUUAAUAAAAACACAAAUUAGGAGUUCCCGUCGUGGCUCAGUGGUUAACAAAUCCAACUAGGAACCAUGAGGUUGCAGGUUCAAUCCCUGGCCUUGCUCAGUGGGUUAAGGAUCUGGCGUUGCUGGAGCUGUGGUGUAGGUUGCAGACGUGGCUCAGAUCCUGCGUUGUUGUGGCUCUGGCGUAGGCUGGCGGCUAUAGUUCCAAUUAGACCCCUAGCCUGGGAACCUCCAUAUGCUACAGGUGCGGCCCUAGAAAAUACAAAAAGACAAAAAUAAAUAAAUAAAUAAAAUAAAAAUAAACAUAAAUAUUACAUUAACAUAUAUUAAAGCACAAAUUAACGGGAAUGACAUGGCACAGAACACUGGUUCUCAGCCAAGGUGGAUUUGUCUUCAGGGAGCAUUUGUUAAUGUCUGGAGACAGGUCUGAUUGUUGCAACAGCAGGAAGUGGGGUUGCUACUGGCAUUUAGUGGGAAGAGGUGGGGAAUCCUGCUAAACAAGUCCCCACCCAGACUUAAUGAAGUAGAAACUAAGGGUGAGGGCCCGUAUCUAUGGUGUAAGAAGUCUUCCAGAUAAUUUUGCAUGUUUCUCAAGUCUGAGAACUACUGACAGCUCAGUUGGACUGUAAUUUUCAAAUAACGUAAAUUUUUUUACCAAUGUCACUACUUUAUGAUAUUCAAAUUCACUGUAAAAAUUGUUUUUGAAACACUUCAUAAUCUACAGAGACCAUGAUUGAAAACAGUUGCUUAGUUUUAAGUUUCAGGGAGGUGUGGCCCAGUGCAUAGCCUCAGGUAAUAAUAACAAACUGAAAGGGAAUUUUUUUAAAGGCAAAUUUCUGAUGGCUGCACAGCCUGUUAACAAUAAUGUACUUAUAACAGGGCGAUCAGUCAUACUCAGGUGGGAUGUCAGAGAUUUCCUAACCUGAUUAAUUUGAAUUUCUUAAUGAUGAAAAACUCGUAAUAAUUAGAUUGACUAAUAAGAGGUGGUAACCUAAGUACAACCAGUGAUACAAGAAAGAGGAAGGAUCAAUCCAGUUUCACCUAAAGGAUAUCACAGACCUUUAUGUUUAAUGUUGAGUAUAUAUUAAUAUUGAGAUGAUAAGCUUUUAGUGAAGAAGAAAGAAAAUAUGGGAAUCCCCCCACCAAAGUAAACAAAACACACACUACUCAGACUGUGACUUAGGGAUGAGCAGUUUUGGCAAUAUGUGGGAGCUGUUAGCCACACAGAAUCUCAGGCCAGCUGCAGACUCAUUGCAUUAAAUCUAUAAGCACUAUGUUUUCGUGAGUUCUCCCGGUAAUUCAUACACACAUAAGAGUUUGAGAAGCACUGGAAUAACUCAAGAACAGUGUGAAGUAGAUCAUUUCCUUGCUGUUUUUGUUUUGCUGUACGGCAGAAACGUCUUCAUGAGUUCCAUUAUAAUAGCAUUCGAAUACACCAGGAAACUACGGUAAACUUUUUCUCUGCUUUCUUUGGAAAUGAAGCGUUCUAUUUUUGAAAUAACAGAAAAUUUCCUAAUCAGGUUUCUAUCGUUGCCAAAACUGGGUAAUUUUUUGUUGCCAACAUCCAGGCAGAUAAAAGAAAGAAGGUCAUAUCCAUGAUAGGCAGUCUUUUCCUCUUUUCUUUCAUUACUCCUUCUCAGCCUCCCAUCACCACUGCACAGUUUGUAAUUUCAUUCAUUCAGUAAAUAGUUAUUAGGAAUCCCGUGUGUGCCAGGCUCUGUUCUAAGUGUUGGUGGUUUACAGAAUGAAAAACAGCUCAUGUCUAUAUUUGAGGGCAUAAUUUCUAGUAAACUAUAUACAAGUGAGAUAAAUAAGACUCUCAACUAUUUGUUUUCAAGUGUCAAGUAAAUUUGACAAAAGUUUAAAACAUUAAAUAAAUGAAGUAAGAGACAGAACUAUAGUCUACUCUUCUUUGAUCAUAUUUGGCACAUGUUUUAUAAAUAUUUUCCUAUAUGAACUUUCUAUUAUAGUUUCUUACCAUUUAUUAAUCUUUGAAAUAAAUGACAAAUAAAUGAGCAAGGAUAAAGCAAUAGAAAGAAGUCUAGGAUGAAGGUCUUUUCUGUUUGGGCCCCUGGGUUGGUCAUUUGUCUUGGACUAAAGUCACUUUCUAUUCUAUCAACUCAGCCAAUGAGUCAGGAUGUCUCCCCCAUACUCAAGGGAAAGAAAAAUGUGAUUUAAUUUUUUUCACUUAUCUGACAUUCCUUCAGAUAAGAAACACUGGAAAGGGUACCAUUUGGGCGUUGGGAGAAGGGAAUUUGAGUCAUGGCUUUGUCACUAACUAGCCAUGAGACUUUGAGUUCAUUCUAUCACAUCUCUGAACCUCAGUUUCCUAAUAUGUAAAAUGGCAAUAAACAUAAUAAAAUUUAUGAAAGUGGUUAGAUAUAAAAAUAUCAUUAAUCAUGUGGGAAAGAAUUAUUGUCUUUUGGGUCUUGCAUUAUUUCAGAAAUAAUGAUCUCUCUGGGCUGUUAUCCUGAAAGAGGAAGUAAGCUGAAGUAGAUGGAAUUCUGAAUAACAAGGGUGAUUGCUGUAAAACAUACCUGCUGAAAUUUGUUUACGAUAGACCACUAAAGACCCAGACUUAUUUUGCCUAAUCUUAUCUAGAGUUUCUCUUGAAAAUAUCUAUUCAUUUAACUUUACCAGACUCUAACAGGUGUCUGUCGCUUUUAAGUCCAGGUUGAGGUAUCACUAAAGAAUAGAGGUUAUUUAUAUACAGUCCCUGCUGUUGUUCUCUUGCAAUAAGUAUGUAUUAACAUACCAGGUGAGAGUGAGUGACCAAUCAGAACAAAGGAACAAAAUUUAAGGCAGAUAUUCUCUCUUGGGUAAGAGAAAUCAUUCUUCAUUAUUUACUGAUGUCAUCAUUAUUGAUUAGAAUUGUUUCAUUGCACAUAUGUAAAUAAGUAAAACAUAUGUGCAGAGAUGAGAAAAGGGGAAAAGUUUACAUAAAGUGAGAUAUUCUUCCACCUUUGUCAUUAAAACUCAUAGUUUUGUUUUUCUCCUUUUGUGUGUCCUCUCAAUCAUUUUUUUUUCUUUUUUGCCACCAUCAGAUGUGGGUCACGGUUGCAUUGUGGCAAUGCCAGAUCCUUAACCCACUGUGCCAGGCUGGGGACUGAAGCUGCAUCCCAACAUUCCAGAGAUAAUGCCCAUCCUAUUGGGCCACAAUGGGAACUCCUGUCCUCUCUAUCUUGUCCAAAAAUUUGAUUGAUUAGCACUUUAGGAGAGAUCAUUUGAGAAUUUACUUCCAGUCUUUGCCCAAUUUCAUUCUUUUUUUUUUUUAAUGCCAGAAAUAUUAUUAUACAUGACCAAGCAGUUUCUGUGUCCUCAGCUCCCCUUUUCUUCAUGCCCGGGCAGUCAGAACUUCUCCAUUAUUGCUUCUCAUCUAUGUAAAGAGAAAGAAAUCUAAUCUUAUGUUCUGCUGUGCUCUCAUUUAAUCCUGAAAACAAUGUCAAGAAUUAUUCACAGGUGAGGAGAUAUGGGCAUGAAAAGUGACAAAUUAUGAUUAUGUAGUUAAUACAUUGCAGACCCUGGAUUUUCACUGAGGUUUGACUCCAAAAUUCAUCAUAUUAUCAUACUAUUGUCUCUAUCCUGCUGGAGAUCUUUUUUUAAUACUCACACUUUUUUGGACUAAAAAUCCAAAUUUUCUUUUUAGCCUGUAUCAUUUAAAUCACAAAUACUAUGAACACCAUAAGUCCGAAAAUAUUAAAAGACAUGAUGCAACUUUAAAGUAAUAGGGCACUUUAGUGUUUAAUAAUUCCUUUUUAUAUAAUACCUCAUAUUUCUCUCAACAAUAAUAUGAGAUGAAUCUCUCUCUCUCUCUUUUAAUGGGGAAACCAAGAUUUAGAGGGCUAACUAACUGACUUGUGGGAGAUAGCACAUGACAAUUGUCACUGAAUGUGAAUUUGGGUCUUCUGGCUCCAAGUCUAGAAGAGCUGCAUUACUCUUUUCCGUUCAGAGGGUUUUGUUGAGGCAACAUCUGUAACUUUUCUGCCCCAUGGGGCAGACCAUUAGAGGAAGGACAACAAAGACCUCAGUAAUUCUUAACAGUGGUUUCCCUCCACUAACGAUUUCAGGAGUUGCCCCUCCCCCAUUUCCUUUCUAUUUUUCAGCGAAGAGCUAGAGUCUUUAUGUUCCGCAGUGGCAGGCAUUUGAGCUUUCUUGUCCUAGAGAUAUGCUUAUCCUCUUUCCUUCCGCAUGGCCUCAUUCAGUGAGAAGUUCAAGUACCAUUUGCAGUGGGGGUAUAGGAACUUUGUCGCUAACUGGAAAGCAGCUGAGCCUAACUCUUGCAAAAACCAGUCCCACUGGCAUUCAUCAUUGCCAAAAUGGGGAAAGCUAUUGGUCUCACUUGCUACUCCUAUGGAGAGAGCUCUUGUUCUUCUUGGGUUAACUUUUCUCUCUUUUUCUUUAGUUUUCUUACAACAUUAUCCACAUUUGAGUUCUUUUCCUUAGCAUGUAGGGACCUGAGUGCUUUGUUCUUGCCUGGGUUUCUGAAGGCUGGCAUGGAGUUUGCUAAGAACAUGAAGCUUCACAAAGGAAAACAUUGUAGGGCAAAGGGAAAGCAAAACAGAAUCUUGGGGAAAGUGAAGUUUUAAGUCUAGUAGUCCAAACAAAGAAUUCAAUUAAAAGGGUGAGUGUUUGUCAUGGGAGAAAAAUCAGAUGCAAGGUCAAGAGGCCAAGACCAUGGUGAGGAGAAAAGCAACGGCUAGCUUGGUUGGGCCUACAAAGACAGAGCAUGAGGCAUUUUAUCAAAGCACCCAGAAUAGGGAUUAGAUUACUUUAACAUAGUCCAGGGACAUGACUUUUGUUCUAAUUCCUUUCCUCUUCAGUUGAGAUCCUGAUUCCAAGUGAGAUGGAAGGAAUGGAGGUUUCAAGUCAGGUCUAAGUCAGGUUGAAUACUUCAGUGAGGAACUUGGGGAAAAAUUACCCUGGGCUCAAAGGACAUUUUGGGACAUUUAAACAAUACCAUCAGGGCUUCACUUAAAAAAAAAUAAUAAUUUUCAAUCAAUCACAAACUAUUAUCUUAUUGCCACAGAGGCACUUCCCUCCCUUCCCAGCCAUUCUAUUUCCUACUAUCUAGUGCUUGAGUUCAAGUUUUACACAGACCUUACAACUCCCCGCUCUUGUUAAACUAGUAUUUUCACUUAUCUCCUCUGACUCCUGCAGGCAUCUGAGGUUAUACUCUCACUGUAGAGGCAUCAAUAAACUUUGCUCCUACUCCUUUCUUUUUCACUUAGGAAUCUCAAUUCCAGUGCCUUUAUACCUCAAGUAACCCUCAAAUAAUUCCUCUCCUCCUUCCAAGUUUUCUGGAGAAUCUUCUUGGUUCUUGGAACCCUUAUGAAGUUUCUAAACCAAUAAACUAUUGAACAACUCUACAGACAUUAACUUACAUGAUAUAAAUUAUCUCAUGGGGCAGUAUUUGAUUAAUUUCCAAAUGUGCAGCUAAGUUAGGAAAGUGAGGUUAGAAAUGAUUGAUUUUAUAUAUAUAUAUAUGUAUAUGUAUAUGUAUACACACAGAACCUUUUACUUUUCCUUUUAUAUAUGACUUUGGAAAAUGUAAAAUCACAUUGUUUGGGGGCACAAAAUUCUAAAUUCUAUUAUGCAAUACUUAGGGUUGCUUAUUUAAACAUUUCAGUCUGUUAUAUUUAGUAUAAGAGAUACACUUGUCUUAUUGAAAGACUAUGGGAGAAAGUGGUCCCCUUGCCCUGAUCCCCUCAUUUUUCUUUUGAAGAGGUUGGGAAGCAAUAGGAACAAAAGUCCAGAAAAAAACAGUCUAAAUUUUUCUCUUUUUAUUCCCAGGUCUUUCCAUGUCUAGUCAAGGAAAGCAUCAAGACUGGUCCUAUGGAAAUUUCCUUGGAGAAUUGCCUUUGAGGGGUGGGAAGGAUUUACAUAAGUGGAGUAGAAGUGGAAAGACAGUUUGCCUUAGUCAUAAAAGUGUGUGUAUAAGCACAAAUACAGCAAUGUGAAAGACUGUAACAGAGACUUCUGAGUCGAAGAUGGGCAGAAGUAAAAGUCUGAUGUGAUAAGGGUCUUAUUUUCCCUUUAAAAAUUCUCCAAUAUAGCUGAAAAUAAGUGCAAUAUAUUUUCCCCUCUGAUAAAUUCUGUCUCCAUUUAAAACAUAUUUAUCAAUCAACACAUAUUUAUAGAAUAUUUUCCCUCAUGUGAUAAAUAUAUAGUAUAUGUUCUCAACAAAGACAAGUGCAAAGAAGCUAUUUACACCUAACUUUAUGAGCCAAAAAUUAAGACAAAAACUUGAACACAGAACUGCCCUUGAAAAUCCUGAGCAGAAGUUCCCAUUGUGGCUCAGCAGUAAGGAACCCAGCUAGUAUCCAUGAGGGCGUGGGUUUGAUUCUGCCCCCGGCUCAGUGGGCUAAGGACCUGGCAUUUCCAUGAGCUGUGGUGUAGGUCAGAGACAUGGUUCACAUCUAGUGUUGCUGUGGCUGCAGCAUAGGCCAGCAGCUGCAGCUCUGAUUGGACCUCUAGCCUGGGAACUUCCAUAUGCCACAGGUGCACCCCUAAAAAAAAAAACUAAAAAAAAA